GCUCGAGACCCUGCCUCAAAAAAAAAAAAGUCUCGCUCGAGAUCUAGAUCGAGGGCUCUGUCGCCGGGAGGCGCCGGCGCCGGCGCCUAGGGUGAGCCAACGGCGUUCGCGAAGGCAACGUGGUGAGGCGCCGACGGCGUUGACCACGACAGGGGUUAGGCGCGACGACGACGGCGAUUCGCUCCUGACCUCGACGGCGACUCGCUCAUGGCCGCGACGACGACUUUGACCGGCAGUCCUGACCUGACCGGGACGGCGAAUCGCUCCUUCUCCUCCAAGCUGCCUCCUCUGCUCCACAAAGGGAACAGUGUUGCUGAUCAUUUCUGGCUGAAUUCCGAGAAAUCCUUGAUUUCUUCUGGCCAUACAUAUAUCAUGUCAGCCUACCAUAUCCUUUAUUGUGACAAAAUAUUCUGGACAUGUGCAUUAUUAUCCACAAUAGACUUGUGUUGAGAACAAGAAGUUCUUGGAGCUAUCAUUUUUGCAUUCAAAAUCAUAAUUCAUGGGAACCUGCUGCUGUCUAGAACUUCCAUUCCUAUUUGAAGAUGUUUAUAUUGCUGCCAUGUUGUUUCUUCAUCGGUUUUUCUUCAAAAAUGACAUAGUUACUUUAAACUUGAGGAAAUUGUUGCUGAGUACAUGCCAAACCAAAGUGAUCAUGAGAUAGGACGGUGUAUAUGCUCAAGUUGCUAAUGAUGAACCAAAGUGGUCAUUACAUAGCUAAUGUUUUUCUUUUUUAUUGUGCAAUUUGUGUGGAAGUGCAUGUGUAACUCCAAAUUCUUUGUGAAUGUUGUUCCUCUUUAUUGUUACAGCGUGGCAGAAAAACAACAUUCCAAUCAGGCCCUUAUAGUUUUUGGUUUUGCGUCUUGCACAUGCAAGUGGCUGGACUGACCGGACCCAAAUGAACAAUCAGAACGAGUCCAGGCAAGAGUAGUUAGGGCAGCUCCAACGACUUUGAUGACUGGAGACUUUGGCGAUCCAACACCAUGGAUCAAACGUCCGUGGCGUGGUCCGGACGUUCACAGUCUUACAAACCGGAAGCAAAGCUGGAGGAAGUUUGUAGGCGUGCAGACAUCCACCAUGUAGGCCUUCAACACCCUCGGCCCACGAAAACCUUCUCCCUCUCGUUGCAUAGAUCGCUGAUGAGCGGGCUGUCACGGUCAUGCUCGCAGAGAAACCGAGCUUCAUGGGUGAGCAGCCAGCGUUGUACGAGUCCAUGCACAGUGCCUGCACCAUCAGUCUUGACUCUUGAGUGGUGGUAGCUCUAUGUCAACAAGGCUGAUGGACGAGAAUGCUGCCAACGUCGGUCGCUCCGUGUUGUUUGCGCCAGGCCACAACAACUACGAGGCCGGAUUGUUGACUCCACCUCCAUUGGCGGCGUCGACUACCAGGCGGCGAACUCAAACGAGUAGGACGUGAAACACAGACAUGCCCAGGUCCGGCGAAGAGUAGACUACGGUCGGCUACUUUUGCUAUGAAUUCUUUUUCUAAUAUUGACGAAAUGUCGUGUAUGCCAUUAUUUGGUUCGGAUUGGAUGACCGGCUUUCCUAAUUUCAUCCUCUUGGUUGUAAAUAUUAUCUGGUUCACAUGAAUUUCAUUUGUCUUUUUA
Long non-coding RNA from Triticum dicoccoides, 1603 nucleotides. RefSeq lists it as uncharacterized. The transcript is spliced from 2 exons. NCBI's taxonomy places the organism in Eukaryota, Viridiplantae, Streptophyta, Magnoliopsida, Poales, Poaceae. The record is from RefSeq and is a predicted model, not a curated record.